UGAGUACGAGACGCUAAGGCGUCGAAGUAGUGGAUGUCAUACUUCCAAGAAAAGCUUGCACUGUCAUAAGUAAAAAACGCCUGUACCAUAACCGACACAGGUGGGUAGGUAGAGUAUACUAAGGGGCGCGAGAUAACUCUCUCUAAGGAACUCGGCAAAAUAACUCCGUAACUUCGGGAGAAGGAGUGCCUUAUUCGUAAGGCUGCAAUAACAAGAUCCAAGCAACUGUUUAUCAAAAACACAGGUCUCCGCUAAGUCGUAAGACGAUGUAUGGGGGCUGACGCCUGCCCAGUGCCAGAAGGUUAAAGAAGUCGGUUAGCAUUAGCGAAGCUGGUAACUGAAGCCCUGGUGAACGGCGGCCGUAACUAUAACGGUCCUAAGGUAGCGAAAUUCCUUGUCGGGUAAGUUCCGACCCGCACGAAAGGCGUAAUGAUUUGGAUACUGUCUCGGAGAGGGGCUCGGUGAAAUAGACUUGUCUGUGAAGAUGCGGACUACCUGCACCAGGACAGAAAGACCCUAUGAAGCUUUACUGUAACUUGAAAUUGAAAUUGGACUUUAUUCGCGCAGUAUAGGUGGGAGGUGUUGAUUAUAAUCUUGCGGGAUUAUUGGAGCCAUCAGUGAGAUACCACUCUUGUAAUGUUAGAUUUCUAACUUUGAAUCAUUAUCUGGUCAAAGAACAGUUUCAGGCGGGCAGUUUGACUGGGGCGGUCGCCUCCUAAAUGGUAACGGAGGCGUACAAAGGUUUCCUCUGAACGGGUAGAAAUCGUAUCUAGAGUGUAAAGGCAUAAGGAAGCUUGACUGUGAGACCUACAAGUCGAGCAGGGACGAAAGUCGGUCUUAGUGAUCUGACGGUACUGAGUGGAAAGGCCGUCACUCAACGGAUAAAAGUUACUCUAAGGAUAACAGGCUGAUCUCCCCCAAGAGUUCACAUCGACGGGGAGGUUUGGCACCUCGAUGUCGGCUCAUCGCAUCCUGGGGCGGUAGUACGCCCCAAGGGUUGGGCUGUUCGCCCAUGAAAGCGGUACGCGAGCUGGGUUCAGAACGUCGUGAGACAGUUCGGUCCAUAUCCGGUGUAGGCGUUAGAAUAUUGAGAGGAGCCUUCUUUAGUACGAGAGGACCGAGAAGGACAUACCUCUGGUGUACCAGUUAUCGUGCCGACGGUAACGCUAGGUAGCUAUGUAUGGAGUGGAUAACCGCUGAAAGCAUCUAAGUGGGAAGCCCACCUCAAGAUAAGUAUUCUCAUC
Molecule: ribosomal RNA, 1244 nt
Filed under: metagenome
Description: bacterial LSU rRNA
Rfam family: Bacterial large subunit ribosomal RNA
Source: RNAcentral